CCUACGGGUGGCAGCAGUGGGGAAUAUUGCACAAUGGAGGAAACCCUGAUGCAGCGACGCCGCGUGAGCGAUGAAGUAUUUCGGUAUGUAAAGCUCUAUCAGCAGGGAAGAAGAUGACGGUACCUGACUCAGAAGCCCCGGCUAACUACGUGUCAGCAGCGGCGGUACUACGUAGGGGGCCAGCGUUAUCCGGAUGUACUGGGGGUAAAGGGAGCGUAGACGGCGAUGCAAGCCAGAUGUGAAAGCCCGGGGCUCAACCCCGGCACUGCAGUUGGAACUGUGUGGCUGGAGUGUCGGAGAGGUAGGCGGAAUUCGUAGUGUAGCGGUGAAAUGCGUAGAUAUUAGGAGGAACACCAGUGGCGAAGGCGACCUGCUGGACGAUGACUGACGUUGAGGCUCGAAAGCGUGGGGAGCAAACAGGAUUAGAUACCCGAGUAGUC
Molecule: ribosomal RNA, 440 nt
Filed under: uncultured bacterium
Lineage: Bacteria
Description: partial 16S ribosomal RNA
Rfam family: Bacterial small subunit ribosomal RNA
Source: RNAcentral